RNAcentral lists this ribosomal RNA (253 nucleotides) under uncultured bacterium. RNAcentral's name for it is "partial 16S ribosomal RNA". It matches the Rfam family "Bacterial small subunit ribosomal RNA", at positions 524 to 776 of the family's 1533-position model. The record is from RNAcentral.
UACGUAGGGGGCAAGCGUUGUCCGGAAUCAUUGGGCGUAAAGAGCGUGUAGGCGGUUCAGUAAGUCUGCUGUGAAAGUCCAGGGCUCAACCCUGGGAUGCCGGUGGAUACUGCUGGGCUAGAGUACGGAAGAGGCGAGUGGAAUUCCCGGUGUAGCGGUGAAAUGCGCAGAUAUCGGGAGGAACACCUAUUGCGAAGGCAGCUCGCUGGGGUAUUUCUGACGCUGAGGCACGAAAGCCAGGGGAGCGAACGGG